This 45-nucleotide ribosomal RNA is filed under the name Hylobates moloch (silvery gibbon). RNAcentral's name for it is "partial 12S rRNA". Lineage: Eukaryota; Metazoa; Chordata; Mammalia; Primates; Hylobatidae. The record is from RNAcentral.
CAAUAACAGGGUUAGUGAACAGGGACAAGAGCCACGGGAAUAAAC